AUUGAACGCUGGCGGCAGGCCUAACACAUGCCAGUCGAGCGGUAGAGAGAAGCUUGCUUCUCUUGAGAGCGGCGGACGGGUGAGUAAUGCCUAGGAAUCUGCCUGGUAGUGGGGGACAACGUUCGGAAACGGACGCUAAUACCGCAUACGUCCUACGGGAGAAAGCAGGGGACCUUCGGGCCUUGCGCUAUCCGAUGAGCCUAGGUAGGAUGAGCUAGUUGGUGAGGUAAUGGCUCACCAAGGCGACGAUCCGUAACUGGUCUGAGAGGAUGAUCAGUCACACUGGAACUGAGACACGGUCCAGACUCCUACGGGAGGCAGCAGUGGGGAAUAUUGGACAAUGGGCGUAAGCCUGAUCCAGCCAUGCCGCGUGUGUGAAGAAGGUCUUCGGAUUGUAAAGCACUUUAAGUUGGGAGGAAGGGUUGUAGAUUAAUACUCUGCAAUUUUGACGUUACCGACAGAAUAAGCACCGGCUAACUCUGUGCCAGCAGCCGCAGUAA
Molecule: ribosomal RNA, 500 nt
Filed under: uncultured bacterium
Lineage: Bacteria
Description: partial 16S ribosomal RNA
Rfam family: Bacterial small subunit ribosomal RNA
Source: RNAcentral